GGGAUUCUCGCAGGAGCCACAGCUAACAAGGCUUCUCAUAACAGGACCCGGGCCCUGCAAAGCCACAGCUCCCCAGAGGGCAAGGAGGAACCUGAACCCCUAUCCCCGGAGCUGGAAUACAUUCCCAGAAAGAGGGGCAAGAACCCCAUGAAAGCUGUGGGACUGGCCUGCUCCAACCAUCUCAGCUCCUUCAUGAUUGUUUCAUCAUCAUCACCAUCGUCACUGUCAUCAUCAUCAUCAUCAUCACCAGUGAUUUCCUGAAUGCCAACCAAGCACCAGUCAUCAAGCAUGAGCCACAGUGCAAAGAUGGAGGCAGGCUCUCCAUUCUAAGGGAACCUCUCAGGCCAGUAGGGAAGGCAAGAUUCAGACACCAGGGACAGGCAGCCUGGGAUGACAGGUGGAACAAGGAGGAGACACAAGAACCCCCACCCCAACCCAGGAACCCACAUCACAGGCCAGACCUGCAUGAUCG
RNAcentral lists this small RNA (472 nucleotides) under Pan troglodytes (chimpanzee). RNAcentral describes it as "processed transcript". Lineage: Eukaryota; Metazoa; Chordata; Mammalia; Primates; Hominidae. The record is from RNAcentral.